RNAcentral lists this ribosomal RNA (246 nucleotides) under uncultured Actinomycetales bacterium. RNAcentral's name for it is "partial 16S ribosomal RNA". It matches the Rfam family "Bacterial small subunit ribosomal RNA", at positions 796 to 1041 of the family's 1533-position model. The record is from RNAcentral. Lineage: Bacteria; Bacillati; Actinomycetota; Actinomycetes; Actinomycetales.
CACGCCGUAAACGGUGGGCGCUAGGUGUGGGGAACAUUCCACGUUCUCCGUGCCGCAGCUAACGCAUUAAGCGCCCCGCCUGGGGAGUACGGCCGCAAGGCUAAAACUCAAAGGAAUUGACGGGGGCCCGCACAAGCGGCGGAGCAUGCGGCUUAAUUCGAUGCAACGCGAAGAACCUUACCUAGGCUUGACAGUUGGGGAAAUCUGGCAGAGAUGUCAGGUCCGCAAGGGCCACAAAACAGGUGG